UACGGGGGGAGCAAGCGUUGUCCGGAUUUACUGGGCGUAAAGGGCGCGUAGGCGGCCAGCACAAGUCAGUUGUGAAAUCUCCGAGCUUAACUCGGAAAGGUCAACUGAUACUGUGCGGCUAGAGUGCGGAAGGGGCAACUGGAAUUCUUGGUGUAGCGGUGAAAUGCGUAGAUAUCAAGAGGAACACCUGCGGCGAAGGCGGGUUGCUGGGCCGACACUGACGCUGAGGCGCGAAAGCCAGGGGAGCGAACGGGA
RNAcentral lists this ribosomal RNA (255 nucleotides) under uncultured prokaryote. Its description in RNAcentral is "partial 16S ribosomal RNA". It matches the Rfam family "Bacterial small subunit ribosomal RNA", at positions 524 to 777 of the family's 1533-position model. The record is from RNAcentral.